Molecule: ribosomal RNA, 253 nt
Filed under: uncultured bacterium
Lineage: Bacteria
Description: partial 16S ribosomal RNA
Rfam family: Bacterial small subunit ribosomal RNA
Source: RNAcentral
UACGUAGGGGGCUAGCGUUAUCCGGAUUUAUUGGGCGUAAAGAGCGUGUAGGCGGCCAGGUAGGUCUGCUGUGAAAACUCGAGGCUCAACCUCGAGACGUCGGCGGAAACCAUCUGGCUAGAGUCCGGAAGAGGAGAGUGGAAUUCCUGGUGUAGCGGUGGAAUGCGCAGAUAUCAGGAAGAACACCAACGGCGAAGGCAGCUCGCUGGGACGGUACUGACGCUGAGACGCGAAAGCGUGGGGAGCGAACAGG